This 644-nucleotide ribosomal RNA is filed under the name uncultured bacterium. Its description in RNAcentral is "bacterial SSU rRNA". It matches the Rfam family "Bacterial small subunit ribosomal RNA", at positions 64 to 692 of the family's 1533-position model. The record is from RNAcentral.
AGUGCUUGCACUAAAUGAAACUAGAUACGAGCGAGCGGCGGACGGGUGAGUAACACGUGGGUAACCUGCCCAAGAGACUGGGAUAACACCUGGAAACAGAUGCUAAUACCGGAUAACAACACUAGACGCAUGUCUAGAGUUUGAAAGAUGGUUCUGCUAUCACUCUUGGAUGGACCUGCGGUGCAUUAGCUAGUUGGUAAGGUAACGGCUUACCAAGGCAAUGAUGCAUAGCCGAGUUGAGAGACUGAUCGGCCACAUUGGGACUGAGACACGGCCCAAACUCCUACGGGAGGCAGCAGUAGGGAAUCUUCCACAAUGGACGAAAGUCUGAUGGAGCAACGCCGCGUGAGUGAAGAAGGGUUUCGGCUCGUAAAGCUCUGUUGGUAGUGAAGAAAGAUAGAGGUAGUAACUGGCCUUUAUUUGACGGUAAUUACUUAGAAAGUCACGGCUAACUACGUGCCAGCAGCCGCGGUAAUACGUAGGUGGCAAGCGUUGUCCGGAUUUAUUGGGCGUAAAGCGAGUGCAGGCGGUUCAAUAAGUCUGAUGUGAAAGCCUUCGGCUCAACCGGAGAAUUGCAUCAGAAACUGUUGAACUUGAGUGCAGAAGAGGAAAGUGGAACUCCAUGUGUAGCGGUGGAAUGCGUA